CGGCCGGGCUGGGUUGCCUGGCCUUCGGCCUGGGCGGCCUCAAGCGCCGGCCGGGCUGGGGUUCUUGGCUUUCGGCCCUGUUUGGCCUCAGGUGUCGGCCGG
Molecule: transfer RNA, 102 nt
Filed under: Embleya hyalina
Lineage: Bacteria; Bacillati; Actinomycetota; Actinomycetes; Kitasatosporales; Streptomycetaceae
Description: tRNA-Leu
Source: RNAcentral